UACGGAGGGUGCAAGCGUUGUUCGGAAUCAUUGGGCGUAAAGCGCGUGUAGGCGGCUUGGCAAGUCAGUUGUGAAAGCCCGGGGCCCAACCCCGGAACUGCAUCUGAAACUGCAGUGCUAGAAUCUUGGAGAGGCGAGUGGAAUUCCGAGUGUAGAGGUGAAAUUCGUAGAUAUUCGGAAGAACACCAGUGGCGAAGGCGACUCGCUGGACAAGUAUUGACGCUGAGGUGCGAAAGCGUGGGGAGCAAACAGG
RNAcentral lists this ribosomal RNA (253 nucleotides) under uncultured bacterium. RNAcentral's name for it is "partial 16S ribosomal RNA". It matches the Rfam family "Bacterial small subunit ribosomal RNA", at positions 524 to 776 of the family's 1533-position model. The record is from RNAcentral.